This 634-nucleotide ribosomal RNA is filed under the name Kocuria sp. T213BO2. Its description in RNAcentral is "SSU rRNA". It matches the Rfam family "Bacterial small subunit ribosomal RNA", at positions 848 to 1480 of the family's 1533-position model. Lineage: Bacteria; Bacillati; Actinomycetota; Actinomycetes; Micrococcales; Micrococcaceae. The record is from RNAcentral. RNAcentral also lists the same sequence under 1 other name.
UAGCUAACGCAUUAAGUGCCCCGCCUGGGGAGUACGGCCGCAAGGUAAAACUCAAAGGAAUUGACGGGGGCCCGCACAAGCGGCGGAGCAUGCGGAUUAAUUCGAUGCAACGCGAAGAACCUUACCAAGGCUUGACAUUCACCGGACCGCCCCAGAGAUGGGGUUUCCCUUCGGGGCUGGUGGACAGGUGGUGCAUGGUUGUCGUCAGCUCGUGUCGUGAGAUGUUGGGUUAAGUCCCGCAACGAGCGCAACCCUCGUUCUAUGUUGCCAGCACGUGAUGGUGGGGACUCAUAGGAGACUGCCGGGGUCAACUCGGAGGAAGGUGGGGAUGACGUCAAAUCAUCAUGCCCCUUAUGUCUUGGGCUUCACGCAUGCUACAAUGGCCGGUACAAAGGGUUGCGAUACUGUGAGGUGGAGCUAAUCCCAAAAAGCCGGUCUCAGUUCGGAUUGAGGUCUGCAACUCGACCUCAUGAAGUCGGAGUCGCUAGUAAUCGCAGAUCAGCAACGCUGCGGUGAAUACGUUCCCGGGCCUUGUACACACCGCCCGUCAAGUCACGAAAGUUGGUAACACCCGAAGCCGGUGGCCUAACCCCUUGUGGGAGGGAGCCGUCGAAGGUGGGACUGGCGAUUGGGA